CCUUACUGGGUAUAUUUUAUAUACUAACUAUUUUCUAUAUUUAAUAUUCCAAGUAAAGGUAGAUGAUCUGGAAAGCUAGUGAGCCACAGAAAGGACCCGUGGCAUGCCAUAUGGGGCUCGUUCUGUUUCUGCGUUUAUUUUUUUUCUUUAGUUUUUUAUAUAUUUUGAUUUUAGUAAUUUUAUUUAAGGUUUUGUCUCAUAAUUUGUUUAUCUUUCUUCAUUUAAAAAGUGUUAAAACCCACGUGUCAUCUUUUCACAGUAUUUUUGCUAUUUAUUUUUACAAAUUUUAUGUCUUUGGAAGAUAUAUUUUAUAAGAAUUUAGUUUUCCUCUCUUAAGAAAGUGUCGUCUGUUAAUUUUCCUUUUCAAUAAUAACCUUAGUUUAGCUUAAAA
RNAcentral lists this long non-coding RNA (391 nucleotides) under Cucumis sativus (cucumber). RNAcentral describes it as "long non-coding RNA (CSAT_LNC000555)". The record is from RNAcentral. Lineage: Eukaryota; Viridiplantae; Streptophyta; Magnoliopsida; Cucurbitales; Cucurbitaceae.